Molecule: ribosomal RNA, 468 nt
Filed under: uncultured bacterium
Lineage: Bacteria
Description: partial 16S ribosomal RNA
Rfam family: Bacterial small subunit ribosomal RNA
Source: RNAcentral
GACGAACGCUGGCGGCGUGCUUAACACAUGCAAGUCGAACGGAAAGGCCCUGCUUUUGUGGGGUGCUCGAGUGGCGAACGGGUGAGUAACACGUGAGUAACCUGCCCUUGACUUUGGGAUAACUUCAGGAAACUGGGGCUAAUACCGGAUAUGAGCUCCUGCUGCAUGGUGGGGGUUGGAAAGUUUCGGCGGUUGGGGAUGGACUCGCGGCUUAUCAGCUUGUUGGUGGGGUAGUGGCUUACCAAGGCUUUGACGGGUAGCCGGCCUGAGAGGGUGACCGGCCACAUUGGGACUGAGAUACGGCCCAGACUCCUACGGGAGGCAGCAGUGGGGAAUAUGGCACAAUGGGCGGAAGCCUGAUGCAGCAACGCCGCGGGCGGGAUGACGGCCUUCGGGUUGUAAACCGCUUUCGCCUGUGACGAAGCGUGAGUGACGGUAAUGGGUAAAGAAGCACCGGCUAACUACGUG